CGACUCCACGGACUCAACCUCUCUUAACCUCCUAUGAAUCUCGUGCAAUCCUCCGGGUUGUCCACGCCCUCGCGUUCGAAUCCACGAACGCCUCCACUUCGAAUCCACGAAGCUUCAAUCACGCCGAAUCCAUGACGCCACUCGAAUCCACGAGCCCACGAUCCGAAUCCACGAACCGCCUUUGUUCACUCCGAAUCCACGACGCCGUUCAUGAAGAACAUCAUGAUUAUGGUGAUCCUUCGCUUAGAGUAUCGUAGAUAAUCAAGGAAGAAAACUCCAAGUGAAGAUUAGAUCAAAUCGACAUAUAGCGAAUGCGAAACGAUACCUCGAUUUGAUCUAAAGAGGCUAAUUUGUAAAAAAUAGGUUUAGAACGAAAUACUAGCCUCUAGGGUUCUUUUUGUGUAUUCUUAUGAUCGAUCCUUGAUUAGAGAACCCCUAUAGCUUAUUUAUAGACUUUAGAAUCAAAACGGAGUAGAAUUAGAAAGUUUCUUUCCAUAUUCAGCACCUUGUACCGGUACAAGGGAAGCUGUCCAGGGUACAGCAUGACGGAAGAUUUUUCUGCGAAGCUUCUGUACCCUGAACAGACUGCAGCUUGUUCCGAAACAAGGCUUGUACCGGUACAGCCAUGAUGGUUGUACCGGAACAACCAUCGAAAAUCCCAGCGGCAAUAGCCGAUGUCUGUACCGGUACAGGAAAACUCUUGUACCGGUACAACAAUGCAAUUUUAGCUGAAAAUGCAUUGUUUCGAGUUUUACAAGCUCUUAGAAACUUUCUAAUCAAUUACAACUUGAAAAUAUGAUUCUAAGAUCUAUAAUUAAGUAUGAAUCACCAUAAACAAGAUUUAAAGCUUACCUAAAUAUCGUGAUUCAAGUUUUGCGUGUUUUGCGUCCUUUCCGAUUCUUCGAAGUCUUGAAUUCUUCGAUCUUCAAUAAUCCGCUCUGGACUACUUCAAGACUCUGACUCGACCCACAAAACUUGCCAACACAUAGGACCUAACAAUCUCCCCCUUUGGCAAUUUCGUGACAAAACACAUACAAACUCACAAAUUACAAUUUAAAGAAAAAACGAAGUUCAAUGUCAUCACCAAAACAUCGAACCCCUCGCAUGUAGUCCAAAUACAAAUUAAAACUCAAAAUACAUUCAAAACUCUUAAAACAGACUCUAUGACUUAGACGUAACUAGGAGUCUGGAAGUCUUGAAAUCCUGUUUUUCCUGCAAAACAUUCCACAAUAAUAUAAAGUUUUACAUUCAAUUGAUUUUUUUACCAUUCUCUUUCUCCCCCUUUGUUCAUCACUUCUCCCCCUUUGUUCGUGAACCUGUUCAUCUUGUGAUCUCCCCCUUUUUGUCAGAAAAUUGCCAAAAAGCAUAAAUGUAAGGAAGGAGGCUAGGAGCAUCUUCC
Molecule: long non-coding RNA, 1399 nt
Filed under: Ananas comosus (pineapple)
Lineage: Eukaryota; Viridiplantae; Streptophyta; Magnoliopsida; Poales; Bromeliaceae
Description: long non-coding RNA (ACOM_LNC002113)
Source: RNAcentral